RNAcentral lists this long non-coding RNA (3195 nucleotides) under Homo sapiens (human). Its description in RNAcentral is "HSALNT0267612". Lineage: Eukaryota; Metazoa; Chordata; Mammalia; Primates; Hominidae. The record is from RNAcentral.
CUGUGGUCCCAGCUACUCGGGAGGCUGAGGCAGGAGAAUUGCUUGGACCUAGGAGGUGGAGGUUGCAGUGAGCUGAGAUCGCACCACUGCACUCCAGCCUGGGUGACAGAGCAGACUCCACCUCAAAAAAGAAAAAACAAAACAAAACAGUAUUUCCCACUGGUCAGUUUUGCAUAGGCAUCUAUUUCAGGCAGGGUUUUUUUCUUUUUUUUGAGAUGGAGUUUUGCUCUUGUUGCCCAGGCUGGGGUGCAAUGGCCCGAUCUCGGCUCACCGCAACCUCCACCUCCCAGGUUCAAGCGAUUCUCCUGCCUCAGCCUCCCGAGUAGCUGGGAUUACAGGCAUGCGUCACCACACCAGGCUAAUUUUGUAUUUUUAGUAGAGAUGGGGUUUCUCCAUGUUGGUCAGGCUGGUCUCAAACUCCUGACCGCAGGUGAUCCACCUGCCUCGGCCUCCCAAAGUGCUGGGAUUACAGGCAUGAGCCACCGCGCCCGGCUCAGGCAGGGUUCUUUAUAAAAACAGCCUGAUGCCUGAAGGACACUCUCUGGUUGUAAUAUUUGUUUCAUCCAUGAAGUGUUUAAAUAUUGCAACUGACUUGCGAUUAGCCACCAAAACAGGCCCUUUUAGAUGCAGUGCCUCUCCGACCAAGUAUUGGAUGAUUCAUACGUAAUGGACUAUGAUCAUUUUCUGUCCAUGUUUUCUAUUACUAUAUGCUGGUUUUUUUGGAGCAAUAAGAUUACUUUUUUUCUGUUCUAUUUUGAGCGAAUCCUUUACAGUUUUUGAUAAGAACUGUGACAUUUGUUCUUUGUUGAUAAAACUCCUGAAAAUAACUCACAAGGCCAGUGCUGCACUCUGGCACAUGUAGGUUGUUUUGAGGGUUUGUUGGUUGGUUGGUUGGCUGGUUGAUUGGUUGGUUGGUUUAGAACACUAAUGUACUUGUUAUGAACCAAACUCUGGUCUUACAGUCUUAAAUUCCACCUCAUGGGGCUGUUUUCUCUGUUAGCAAUGAAACCUGGGCCAGGUGUAGUGGCUCACACCUAUAAUCCUGGCACUUUGGGAGGCUGAGGUGGGAGGAUUACUGGAUCCCAGGAGUUUGAGACCAGCCUGGGCAACAUAGUGAGACCCUGGUUUCUAUAAAUAAAUAAGAUAAUCAAACCAGAAAGCAGGCAUUUUAGUAACAGCCUGUUGAAUUUUAAGGUGAAUCAAGGUAAUUUUGCAGAAUGCGUUCUUGCACCGAAAUGUCCCUGACCACAUAUCAGUGGUAUAGACUGAACAGUGUGCUUCAGGGUCAUGUGCUGAGUGCACUGAUCACUCUGCUGUGGCCCAGGGCAUCUGUACCUGUUGGACAAGAUUAUGAUAAUUCAGAAGUGAAGUAAAAUGCCUCCCUCUGAUGGCAAAAAGCCAACCUGUUUGCAAAAUCACCCUUAUUGAAGGGUGGCAUGGCUGUGGUCCCUCCCUCCUGUUACUUGCAUCACCAACCAAACUAAACCAAACCAUACCUGGGCCUGUUCAGCUGGACUUGAAAUCAGUUUCCUUUUUCUCUCCCCUUUGCAGCACUUUUCAGUUUCCAGCUUUGUCAUUCUGUGGCCUUUGCUGUGACAAUGCUGGGAAGGGUUAGAAAUCCUGUCACCUCCAUCCACAAAGGCACAGUUCCACGCCCUGUGAUAAGAUAUCCCCUCUUCUCUCCCAGACUGUCUCCUUAAGCCUUUCAAACUGAGCCCCUUGCUGUUGGGGUAAUCACCCUUAAGGCCGCCUUGAUGCCCCUCUCUCCAAUCAAGUCCAAUAGUAGCAUUAACUGAGAAGCACUACACCUGACUGGCUUCACUGAAGCUUAAGUGGUUGAGGAUGAAUCUUCGGUGUAAAAUCUUUUACUAUAAGGAUAUAUUUUAAAUAUUUCAUAUCCCAUCAAGUUGGAGGUUAAUUUUAUCCAUCACAAUGAGUCAUGAUUUGUUGCACCCAAAAGGAGCAGAAACACAGGUGAUGAGAUAUGGGAGGUGGCACCAUGGUGCUUUGGAGGCGUUGGUAAGAUGUGACCCUCUGUUGCCUAUGCCCAUAAACCAGUGGUGGGAGUGGCCAUGGAGUAGAUGGCAGGGGCUUGUUGAAGGGAUUGAAAGCUCUCCUAGGCUAGGCAUGGUGGCUCACACCUGUAAUCCUAGCACUUUGGGAGGCUGAGAUGGGAGGAUCACUUGAGGUUGGGCCAGCCUAGCCAACAUGAUAAAACCCCGUCUCGACUAAAAAUACAAAAAUUAGCCAGGUGUGGUGGUACACGCCUGUAAUCCCAGCUACUCGGGAGGCUGGGGCAGGAGAAUCGCUUGAACCCAGGAGGCAGAGGUUGCAGUGAGCUAGGAUCACGCCACUGCACUCCAGCCUGAGCGACAGAGUGAGACUCUGUCUCAAAAAAAAAAAAGGCUCUCCAAAGUGUCAUGUUCAGCACCAAAAGGGAAUAGGCACAGGGUGACCCCAGAAGUUCAUUUGUGACACUUAAAUCUCCAGAUAUUUAUCCCACGUGGGUCUGAUGCGGGCUCAGCACUAAAUUAACUGUAUGUGGAAAGUGUCAAUUGCAGAGCCUUCUGUAUCGAUGAGGCUUCCGCCACUUGUCCAUGCUUAGCCCCCUUGCCUCUUCCUUGGGAGCAUGCUUUCUAUUCCUAUGUGAAACAGCCUGACAUAAGUGAAAGGAUUUGGGCUCAAGCAAACAUGAGAUGUGGGUUCAUAUCUUGGCACCACUCCUGAUAGCUGUGUGAUCAUGGCAAACCUCGUUUUCAUCGUCUGUCAGGUGGAGAUGAAGAGAAAUGGUGCAUGUAAAGUGCUCAGCAUCUGUGCUUAGCAGGCCAUAGUCUCCCUGCCUCCUUUUUCUUGAGUAAGCCUUUAGAACUUUCUGACUCCUCUAGAGAAGGCAGAGAAACGAAUAUAUUUUGGGUGCCAUUUGGAGUCUGGGUCUUUUGUUAAAAUUGUCCUGUAUUAUGUUGAAAAGUGUCGGUUACCCCCAGGCUCUGGGGGCAUCUGUGAUCAUAGAAUACUGCCAUGCUUAUUUUGCCUUUCUAUGUUGAGAUUAAUUCACUGACGCCUCAUUUUCCACGUGCAUCUGUCAUAGUCUGGGUACCAGAUUGUAUUUAGAGAAUGGCUCUUGCCACUGUUAUGUACACACAGAUCGUGUGUGUAAACAAGCAAAUUAAAGUAAACUGAGAUAAUGAAAUCCCA